GGCCCCGUAGCUCAACUGUAUAGAGCAUUUGACUACGGAUCAAAAGGUUGUGGGUUAGAAUCCCGCCGGGGUCA
RNAcentral lists this transfer RNA (74 nucleotides) under Salinivirgaceae bacterium. Its description in RNAcentral is "tRNA-Arg". It matches the Rfam family "tRNA". Rfam says of the family: Transfer RNA (tRNA) molecules are approximately 80 nucleotides in length. The record is from RNAcentral. Lineage: Bacteria; Pseudomonadati; Bacteroidota; Bacteroidia; Bacteroidales; Salinivirgaceae. RNAcentral also lists the same sequence under 2 other names.